AUUGCUUCUUAGUCUUUUGGCUUAGGGUAGUAUCUAGUUUAUCAGUUUACUAUCUGGUAUUUCUUCUACCUGAAGUCAAUAUAUUAAGUGGAGUUUUGGAGCUGGGAGAUGGACUUGGAGCUAGCUCCAUCCAUUCUAUACAUCAACCUUGUACUGCAGUCAGUACCUCCAGGAACCAUGCACCCUCU
Molecule: small nuclear RNA, 188 nt
Organism: Nannospalax galili (Upper Galilee mountains blind mole rat)
Lineage: Eukaryota; Metazoa; Chordata; Mammalia; Rodentia; Spalacidae
Gene: U2
Rfam family: U2 spliceosomal RNA
About the family: U2 is a small nuclear RNA (snRNA) component of the spliceosome (involved in pre-mRNA splicing). Complementary binding between U2 snRNA (in an area lying towards the 5' end but 3' to hairpin I) and the branchpoint sequence (BPS) of the intron results the bulging out of an unpaired adenosine, on the BPS, which initiates a nucleophilic attack at the intronic 5' splice site, thus starting the first of two transesterification reactions that mediate splicing.
Source: Ensembl